Molecule: ribosomal RNA, 253 nt
Filed under: uncultured bacterium
Lineage: Bacteria
Description: partial 16S ribosomal RNA
Rfam family: Bacterial small subunit ribosomal RNA
Source: RNAcentral
UACGGGGGGGGCAAGCGUUGUUCGGAAUUACUGGGCGUAAAGGGCUCGUAGGCGGCCGAUCAAGUCGAGUGUGAAAGCCCCCGGCUCAACUGGGGAGGGUCAUUCGAUACUGAUCGACUCGAAGGCAGGAGAGGGUAGUGGAAUUCCCGGUGUAGUGGUGAAAUGCGUAGAUAUCGGGAGGAACACCAGUGGCGAAGGCGACUACCUGGCCUGUUCUUGACGCUGAGGCGCGAAAGCUAGGGGAGCAAACGGG